RNAcentral lists this ribosomal RNA (253 nucleotides) under uncultured bacterium. RNAcentral's name for it is "partial 16S ribosomal RNA". It matches the Rfam family "Bacterial small subunit ribosomal RNA", at positions 524 to 776 of the family's 1533-position model. The record is from RNAcentral.
UACGAAGGGGGCUAGCGUUGUUCGGAAUCACUGGGCGUAAAGCGCACGUAGGCGGAUUGUUAAGUCGGGGGUGAAAUCCUGAGGCUCAACCUCAGAACUGCCUCCGAUACUGGCAAUCUCGAGUCCGGAAGAGGUUGGUGGAACAGCUAGUGUAGAGGUGAAAUUCGUAGAUAUUAGCUAGAACACCAGUGGCGAAGGCGGCCAACUGGUCCGGCACUGACGCUGAGGUGCGAAAGCGUGGGGAACAAACAGG